RNAcentral lists this long non-coding RNA (884 nucleotides) under Chrysemys picta bellii (western painted turtle). RNAcentral's name for it is "lncRNA (ENSCPBG00000015310.1)". The record is from RNAcentral. Lineage: Eukaryota; Metazoa; Chordata; Testudines; Emydidae.
GGAAACCAAGGGCCCGAUUCGCAGCUGUGCUACUGACUUCAGUGGGAUCGGGCUCAGGAUCGGGUCCGGGAUGAGGGAGGCGGGGAAGAGAGAAUAAAACCCCAUCACCGCAGCAGCGCUGAACUCCUCGCUGCCACUUCAGCCACAGCCUCGUGGCUACUGCGGACACCCCGCGUCCCUCUCCCCGACCUCUUCCCGGCCACUGGCUACCCGCGGUGGGGCAGCUCCCUCCCCCCGCUGUUCUAACCAAUCCCGCUGCCGGGGGGCGGAGGCGGAGGCUGGCUCCGCAUUUGUUAGUCCCUGUGGUGCAGAUGAAGGCAGGCGCCCGCUGCGAAGCGAAGAGGGACUCGCUGUGCGGCCAGAGCGCCCGGCUCCCGUUCCGGCUCCGCCCGUCCUCAAAGUUGGAGCAGGCUCGGGGCAAAGAGCAUGCAGGGCUGGACACCGCCGCAGAGCAAGGGCCAGCGCUCCCCACGCCUCCGGCUCCGCCCUGCCCCCUGCGAUGAACAAGCGGCUGCUGCUGCUCCUCCCCAGGAGGCUGCCUGGACCCCCAGGUUCCAGCCUUUUCAGUAUCUCCUCAUGUCUUCAACUUUUACCAUCUCUGCUAAACAUAGUGUCUGGUUACAAGUCAGUGGUCUGCUUGGAGCAGCUACUCUAACUCCAGCCUCCAAAACUGAGGAAGGAAGAAAGCUAUAUAUUUGAAGGUCCCAACACACUCCUUCACUUCCCCCUUCAUCCUCCACUUCCUGUUAGGGAAAUCCCACCGAAUUUCCUGGGUCCUCCCUUUCCUCCAUAUUUAUGAGACAGAAAUCCCAGAUUACUGGGUCAGCAGUCCCUAUUAAGUGACGAAGGAGACUCUCCUGCUAUACACACAUCAUGUUAUCUUA